RNAcentral lists this ribosomal RNA (370 nucleotides) under Parancistrocerus perennis. RNAcentral describes it as "partial 12S ribosomal RNA". Lineage: Eukaryota; Metazoa; Arthropoda; Insecta; Hymenoptera; Vespidae. The record is from RNAcentral.
AAUAAAAGUAAAAAAAAUUAUUAAAGUAUUAAAUGUUAUAUCAUUAAAUUUAUAAGAUUUGGCGGUAUUUCAUUCAGAUUAGGGGAACUUGUUUAGUAAUUGAUAAACCACGAUAAGAUUUACUUAAUUAAAUUCUUGUGUAUUGCUGUUUUUAGAGUUGUUUAUAAGAACAGUCUUAAAAUUUAUAAUUACUUUAUUUAGAGUUGUAAAUAAAAUAAUUCAAGUCAAAAUACAGUAUAGUUAAGAAUAAAAAUGAGUUACAAUAAAAUAUAUUUAGAUGAAUAUUUAAAUUUAAUAUUUUAAAUUGAAGGUGGACUUAAAAGUAAAAUUAAUAAAUUAAUUAAUUUGAAAAUUUUGUUUUGAAAUAUGU